This 28534-nucleotide long non-coding RNA is filed under the name Xyrichtys novacula (pearly razorfish). Lineage: Eukaryota; Metazoa; Chordata; Actinopteri; Labriformes; Labridae. The record is from RNAcentral.
GGAGCUAGGGUUAGGGUUAGGGUUAGGGUUGGAGUUAGGGUUGGUGUUGGAGCUAGGGUUAGGGUUGGGCUUUGAGCUAGGACUUUUCUGAGUGCAAUGAACCAACUCCCGAGUCUCUAGGACGUUCCCUAAAAAAAUUUGAUUUUUUCCCAUAGGAAUGCAUGGGUUAGGGUUAGGGUUAGGGUUAGGGUUGGAGCUAGGGUUAGGGUUAGGGUUAGGGUUGGAGUUAGGGUUAGUGUUGGAGCUAGGGUUAGGGUUGGGCUUGGAGCUAGGAUUUUUCUGAGUGCAAUGAACCAACUCCCGAGUCUCUAGGACGUUCCAAAAAAAAUUUGAUUUUUUCCCAUAGGAAUGCAUGGGUUAGGGUUAUGGUUAGGGUUAGGGUUGGAGCUAGGGUUAGGGUUAGGGUUAGGGUUGGAGUUAGGGUUAGUGUUGGCGCUAGGGUUAGGGUUGGGCUUGGAGCUAGGAUUUUUCUGAGUGCAAUGAACCAACUCCCGAGUCUCUAGGACGUUCCUAAAAAAAUUUGAUUUUUUCCCAUAGGAAUGCAUGGGUUAGGGUUAGGGUUAGGGUUGGAGCUAGGGUUAGGGUUAGGGUUAGGGUUGGAGAUAGGGUUAGUGUUGGAGCUAGGGUUAGGGUUGGGCUUGGAGCUAGGAUUUUUCUGAGUGCAAUGAACCAACUCCCGAGUCUCUAGGACGUUCCUAAAAAAAUUUGAUUUUUUCCCAUAGGAAUGCAUGGGUCAGGGUUAGGGUUAGGGUUGGAGCUAGGGUUAGGGUUAGGGUUAGGGUUGGAGUUAGGGUUAGUGUUGGAGCUAGGGUUAGGGUUGGGCUUGGAGCUAGGAUUUUUCUGAGUGCACUGAACCAACUCCCGAGUCUCUAGGACAUUCCUAAAAAAAUUUGAUUUUUUCCCAUAGGAAUGCAUGGGUUAGGGUUAGGGUUAGGGUUGGAGCUAGGGUUAGGGUUAGGGUUAGGGUUGGAGUUAGGGUUAGUGUUGGAGCUAGGGUUAGGGUUGGGCUUGGAGCUAGGAUUUUUCUGAGUGCACUGAACCAACUCCCGAGUCUCUAGGACAUUCCUAAAAAAAUUAGAUUUUUUCCCAUAGGAAUGCAUGGGUUAGGGUUAUGGUUAGGGUUAGGGUUGGAGCUAGGGUUAGGGUUAGGGUUAGGGUUGGAGUUAGGGUUGGUGUUGGAGCUAGGGUUAGGGUUGGGCUUUGAGCUAGGACUUUUCUGAGUGCAAUGAACCAACUCCCGAGUCUCUAGGACGUUCCCUAAAAAAAUUUGAUUUUUUCCCAUAGGAAUGCAUGGGUUAGGGUUAGGGUUAGGGUUAGGGUUGGAGCUAGGGUUAGGGUUAGGGUUAGGGUUAGAGUUAGGGUUAGUGUUGGAGCUAGGGUUAGGGUUGGGCUUGGAGCUAGGAUUUUUCUGAGUGCACUGAACCAACUCCCGAGUCUCUAGGACAUUCCUAAAAAAAAUUGACUUUUUCCCAUAGGAAUGCAUGGGUUAGGGUUAGGGUUAGGGUUAGGGUUGGAGCUAGGGUUAGGGUUAGGGUUAGGGUUGGAGUUAGGGUUAGUGUUGGAGCUAGGGUUAGGGUUGGGCUUGGAGCUAGGACUUUUCUGAGUGCAAUGAACCAACUCCCGAGUCUCUAGGACGUUCCCUAAAAAAAUUUGAUUUUUUCCCAUAGGAAUGCAUGGGUUAGGGUUAGGUGUGGGGUUGGAGCUAGGGUUAGGGUUAGGGUUAGGGUUGGAGUUAGGGUUAGUGUUGGAGCUAGGGUUAGGUUUGGGCUUGGAGCUAGGAUUUUUCUGAGUGCAAUGAACCAACUCCCGAGUCUCUAGGACGUUCCUAAAAAAUUUUGAUUUUUUCCCAUAGGAAUGCAUGGGUUAGGGUUAGGGUUAGGGUUGGAGCUAGGGUUAGGGUUAGGGUUAGGGUUGGAGUUAGGGUUAGUGUUGGAGCUAGGGUUAGGGUUGGGCUUGGAGCUAGGAUUUUUCUGAGUGCAAUGAACCAACUCCCGAGUCUCUAGGAAGUUCCUAAAAAAAUUUGAUUUUUUCCCAUAGGAAUGCAUGGGUUAGGGUUAGGGUUAGGGUUGGAGCUAGGGUUAGGGUUAGGGUUAGGGUUGGAGUUAGGGUUAGUGUUGGAGCGAGGGUUAGGGUUGGGCUUGGAGCUAGGAUUUUUCUGAGUGCAAUGAACCAACUCCCGAGUCUCUAGGACGUUCCUAAAAAAAUUUGAUUUUUUCCCAUAGGAAUGCAUGGGUUAGGGUUAGGGUUAGGGUUGGAGCUAGGGUUAGGGUUAGGGUUAGGGUUGGAGUUAGGGUUAGUGUUGGAGCUAGGGUUAGGGUUGGGCUUGGAGCUAGGAUUUUUCUGAGUGCAAUGAACCAACUCCCGAGUCUCUAGGACGUUCCUAAAAAAAUUUGAUUUUUUCCCAUAGGAAUGCAUGGGUUAGGGUUAGGGUUAGGGUUGGAGCUAGGGUUAGGGUUAGGGUUAGGGUUGGAGUUAGGGUUAGUGUUAGAGCUAGGGUAAGGUUUGGGCUUGGAGCUAGGAUUUUUCUGAGUGCAAUGAACCAACUCCCGAGUCUCUAGGACGUUCCUAAAAAAAUUUGAUUUUUUUCCAUAGGAAUGCAUGGGUUAGGGUUAUGGUUAGGGUUAGGGUUGGAGCUAGGGUUAGGGUUAGGGUUAGGGUUGGAGUUAGGGUUAGUGUUGGAGCUAGGGUUAGGGUUGGGCUUGGAGCUAGGAUUUAUCUGAGUGCAAUGAACCAACUCCCGAGUCUCUAGGACGUUCCUAAAAAAAUUUGAUUUUUUCCCAUAGGAAUGCAUGGGUUAGGGUUAGGGUUAGGGUUGGAGCUAGGGUUAGGGUUAGGGUUAGGGUUGCAGUUAGGGUUAGUGUUGGAGCUAGGGUAAGGUUUGGGCUUGGAGCUAGGAUUUUUCUGAGUGCAAUGAACCAACUCCCGAGUCUCUAGGACGUUCCUAAAAAAAUUUGAUUUUUUUCCAUAGGAAUGCAUGGGUUAGGGUUAGGGUUGGAGCUAGUGUUAGGGUUAGGGUUGGAGCUAGGGUUAGGGUUAGGGUUAGGGUUGGAGUUAGGGUUAGUGUUGGAGCUAGGGUUAGGGUUGGGCUUGGAGCUAGGAUUUUUCUGAGUGCAAUGAACCAACUCCCGAGGCUCUUGGACGUUCCUAAAAAAAUUAGAUUUUUUCCCAUAGGAAUGCAUGGGUUAGGGUUAGGGUUAGGGUUGGAGCUAGGGUUAGGGUUAGGGUUAGGGUUGGAGUUAGGGUUAGUGUUGGAGCUAGGGUUAGGGUUGGGCUUGGAGCUAGGAUUUUUCUGAGUGCAAUGAACCAACUCCCGAGUCUCUAGGACGUUCCUAAAAAAAUUUGAUUUUUUCCCAUAGGAAUGCAUGGGUUAGGGUUAGGGUUAGGGUUGGAGCUAGGGUUAGGGUUAGGGUUAGGGUUGGAGUUAAGGUUAGUGUUGGAGCUAGGGUUAGGGUUGGGCUUGGAGCUAGGAUUUUUCUGAGUGCAGUGAACCAACUCCCGAGUCUCUAGGACGUUCCUAAAAAAAUUUGAUUUUUUCCCAUAGGAAUGCAUGGGUUAGGGUUAUGGUUAGGGUUAGGGUUGGAGCUAGGGUUAGGGUUAGGGUUAGGGUUGGAGUUAGGGUUAGUGUUGGAGCUAGGGUUAGGGUUGGGCUUGGAGCUAGGAUUUUUCUGAGUGCAAUGAACCAACUCCCGAGUCUCUAGGACGUUCCUAAAAAAAUUUGAUUUUUUCCCAUAGGAAUGCAUGGGUUAGGGUUAGGGUUAGGGUUGGAGCUAGGGUUAGGGUUAGGGUUGGAGUUAGGGUUAGUGUUGGAGCUAGGGUUAGGGUUGGGCUUGGAGCUAGGAUUUUUCUGAGUGCACUGAACCAACUCCCGAGUCUCUAGGACAUUCCUAAAAAAAUUUGAUUUUUUCCCAUAGGAAUGCAUGGGUUAGGGUUAUGGUUAGGGUUAGGGUUGGAGCUAGGGUUAGGGUUAGGGUUAGGGUUGGAGUUAGGGUUAGUGUUGGAGCUAGGGUUAGGGUUGGGCUUGGAGCUAGGAUUUUUCUGAGUGCAAUGAACCAACUCCCGAGUCUCUAGGACGUUCCUAAAAAAAUUUGAUUUUUUCCCAUAGGAAUGCAUGGGUUAGGGUUAGGGUUAGGGUUGGAGCUAGGGUUAGGGUUAGGGUUAGGGUUGGAGUUAGGGUUAGUGUUAGAGCUAGGGUAAGGUUUGGGCUUGGAGCUAGGAUUUUUCUGAGUGCAAUGAACCAACUCCCGAGUCUCUAGGACGUUCCUAAAAAAAUUUGAUUUUUUCCCAUAGGAAUGCAUGGGUUAGGGUUAGGGUUAGGGUUGGAGCUAGGGUUAGGGUUAGGGUUAGGGUUGCAGUUAGGGUUAGUGUUGGAGCUAGGGUAAGGUUUGGGCUUGGAGCUAGGAUUUUUCUGAGUGCAAUGAACCAACUCCCGAGUCUCUAGGACGUUCCUAAAAAAAUUUGAUUUUUUUCCCAUAGGAAUGCAUGGGUUAGGGUUAUGGUUAGGGUUAGGGUUGGAGCUAGGGUUAGGGUUAGGGUUAGGGUUGGAGUUAGGGUUAGUGUUGGAGCUAGGGUUAGGGUUGGGCUUGGAGCUAGGAUUUAUCUGAGUGCAAUGAACCAACCCCCGAGUCUCUAGGACGUUCCUAAAAAAAUUUGAUUUUUUCCCAUAGGAAUGCAUGGGUUAGGGUUAUGGUUAGCGUUAGGGUUGGAGCUAGGGUUAGGGUUAGGGUUAGGGUUGGAGUUAGGGUUAGUGUUGGAGCUAGGGUUAGGGUUGGGCUUGGAGCUAGGAUUUUUCUGAGUGCACUGAACCAACUCCCGAGUCUCUAGGACGUUCCUAAAAAAAUUUGAUUUUUUCCCAUAGGAAUGCAUGGGUCAGGGUUAGGGUUAGGGUUGGAGCUAGGGUUAGGGUUAGGGUUAGGGUUGGAGUUAGGGUUAGUGUUGGAGCUAGGGUUAGGGUUGGGCUUGGAGCUAGGAUUUUUCUGAGUGCAAUGAACCAACUCCCGAGUCUCUAGGACGUUCCUAAAAAAAUUUGAUUUUUUCCCAUAGGAAUGCAUGGGUUAGGGUUAGGGUUAGGGUUAGGGUUGGAGCUAGGGUUAGGGUUAGGGUUAGGGUUGGAGUUAGGGUUAGUGUUGGAGCUAGGGUUAGGGUUGGGCUUGGAGCUAGGAUUUUUCUGAGUGCAAUGAACCAACUCCCGAGUCUCUAGGACGUUCCUAAAAAAAUUUGAUUUUUUCCCAUAGGAAUGCAUGGGUUAGGGUUAGGGUUAGGGUUGGAGCUAGGGUUAGGGUUAGGGUUAGGGUUGGAGUUAGGGUUAGUGUUGGAGCUAGGGUUAGGGUUGGGCUUGGAGCUAGGAUUUUUCUGAGUGCAAUGAACCAACUCCCGAGUCUCUAGGACGUUCCUAAAAAAAUUUGAUUUUUUCCCAUAGGAAUGCAUGGGUUAGGGUUAGGGUUAGGGUUGGAGCUAGGGUUAGGGUUAGGGUUAGGGUUGGAGUUAGGGUUAGUGUUGGAGCUAGGGUUAGGGUUGGGCUUGGAACUAGGACUUUUCUGAGUGCAAUGAACCAACUCCCGAGUCUCUAGGACGUUCCCUAAAAAAAUUUGAUUUUUUCCCAUAGGAAUGCAUGGGUUAGGGUUAGGGUUAGGGUUGGAGCUAGGGUUAGGGUUAGGGUUAGGGUUAGAGUUAGGGUUAGUGUUGGAGCUAGGGUUAGGGUUGGGCUUGGAGCUAGGAUUUUUCUGAGUGCACUGAACCAACUCCCGAGUCUCUAGGACGUUCCUAAAAAAAUUUGAUUUUUUCCCAUAGGAAUGCAUGGGUUAGGGUUAGGGUUAGGGUUGGAGCUAGGGUAAGGGUUAGGGUUAGGGUUGGAGUUAGGGUUAGUGUUGGAGCUAGGGUUAGGGUUGGGCUUGGAGCUAGGACUUUUCUGAGUGCAAUGAACCAACUCCCGAGUCUCUAGGACGUUCCCUAAUAAAAUUUGAUUUUUUCCCAUAGGAAUGCAUGGGUUAGGGUUAGGGUUAGGGUUGGAGCUAGGGUUAGGGUUAGGGUUAGGGUUGGAGUUAGGGUUAGUGUUGGAGCUAGGGUUAGGGUUGGGCUUGGAGCUAGGAUUUUUCUGAGUGCACUGAACCAACUCCCGAGUCUCUAGGACAUUCCUAAAAAAAUUUGAUUUUUUCCCAUAGGAAUGCAUGGGUUAGGGUUAUGGUUAGGGUUAGGGUUGGAGCUAGGGUUAGGGUUAGGGUUAGGGUUGGAGUUAGGGUUAGUGUUGGAGCUAGGGUUAGGGUUGGGCUUGGAGCUAGGAUUUUUCUGAGUGCAAUGAACCAACUCCCGAGUCUCUUGGACAUUCCUAAAAAAAUUUGAUUUUUUCCCAUAGGAAUGCAUGGGUUAGGGUUAGGGUUAGGGUUGGAGCUAGGGUUAGGGUUAGGGUUAGGGUUGGAGUUAGGGUUAGUGUUGGAGCUAGGGUUAGGGUUGGGCUUGGAGCUAGGAUUUUUCUGAGUGCAAUGAACCAACUCCCGAGUCUCUAGGACGUUCCUAAAAAAAUUUGAUUUUUUCCCAUAGGAAUGCAUGGGUUAGGGUUAGGGUUAGGGUUAGGGUUGGAGCUAGGGUUAGGGUUAGGGUUAGGGUUGGAGUUAGGGUUAGUGUUGGAGCUAGGGUUAGGGUUGGGCUUGGAGCUAGGAUUUUUCUGAGUGCAAUGAACCAACCCCGAGUCUCUAGGACGUUCCUAAAAAAAUUUGAUUUUUUCCCAUAGGAAUGCAUGGGUUAGGGUUAUGGUUAGGGUUAGGGUUGGAGCUAGGGUUAGGGUUAGGGUUAGGGUUGGAGUUAGGGUUAGUGUUGGAGCUAGGGUUAGGGUUGGGCUUGGAGCUAGGAUUUUUCUGAGUGCACUGAACCAACUCCCGAGUCUCUAGGACAUUCCUAAAAAAAAUUGAUUUUUUCCCAUAGGAAUGCAUGGGUUAGGGUUAGGGUUAGGGUUGGAGCUAGGGUUAGGGUUAGGGUUGGAGUUAGGGUUAGUGUUGGAGCUAGGGUUAGGGUUGGGCUUGGAGCUAGGACUUUUCUGAGUACAAUGAACCAACUCCCGAGUCUCUAGGACGUUCCCUAAAAAAAUUUGAUUUUUUCCCAUAGGAAUGCAUGGGUUAGGGUUAGGGUUAGGGUUGGAGCUAGGGUUAGGGUUAGGGUUAGGGUUGGAGUUAGGGUUAGUGUUGGAGCUAGGGUUAGGGUUGGGCUUGGAGCUAGGAUUUUUCUGAGUGCACUGAACCAACUCCCGAGUCUCUAGGACAUUCCUAAAAAAAUUUGAUUUUUUCCCAUAGGAAUGCAUGGGUUAGGGUUAUGGUUAGGGUUAGGGUUGGAGCUAGGGUUAGGGUUAGGGUUAGGGUUGGAGUUAGGGUUAGUGUUGGAGCUAGGGUUAGGGUUGGGCUUGGAGCUAGGAUUUUUCUGAGUGCAAUGAACCAACUCCUGAGUCUCUAGGACUUUCCUAAAAAAAUUUGAUUUUUUCCCAUAGGAAUGCAUGGGUUAGGGUUAGGGUUAGGGUUAGGGUUGGAGCUAGGGUUAGGGUUAGGGUUAGGGUUGGAGUUAGGGUUAGUGUUGGAGCUAGGGUUAGGGUUGGGCUUGGAGCUAGGAUUUUUCUGAGUGCAAUGAACCAACCCCUAGUCUCUAGGACGUUCCUAAAAAAAUUUGAUUUUUUCCCAUAGGAAUGCAUGGGUUAGGGUUAUGGUUAGGGUUAGGGUUGGAGCUAGGGUUAGGGUUAGGGUUAGGGUUGGAGUUAGGGUUAGUGUUGGAGCUAGGGUUAGGGUUGGGCUUGGAGCUAGGAUUUUUCUGAGUGCACUGAACCAACUCCCGAGUCUCUAGGACAUUCCUAAAAAAAUUGAUUUUUUCCCAUAGGAAUGCAUGGGUUAGGGUUAGGGUUGGAGCUAGGGUUAGGGUUAGGGUUGGAGUUAGGGUUAGUGUUGGAGCUAGGGUUAGGGUUGGGCUUGGAGCUAGGACUUUUCUGAGUGCAAUGAACCAACUCCCGAGUCUCUAGGACGUUCCCUAAAAAAAUUUGAUUUUUUCCCAUAGGAAUGCAUGGGUUAGGGUUAGGGUUAGGGUUGGAGCUAGGGUUAGGGUUAGGGUUAGGGUUGGAGUUAGGGUUAGUGUUGGAGCUAGGGUUAGGGUUGGGCUUGGAGCUAGGAUUUUUCUGAGUGCACUGAACCAACUCCCGAGUCUCUAGGACAUUCCUAAAAAAAUUGAUUUUUUCCCAUAGGAAUGCAUGGGUUAGGGUUAGGGUUAGGGUUGGAGCUAGGGUUAGGGUUAGGGUUAGGGUUGGAGUUAGGGUUAGUGUUGGAGCUAGGGUUAGGGUUGGGCUUGGAGCUAGGAUUUUUCUGAGUGCACUGAACCAACUCCCGAGUCUCUAGGACAUUCCUAAAAAAAAAUUUGAUUUUUUCCCAUAGGAAUGCAUGGGUUAGGGUUAUGGUUAGGGUAAGGGUUGGAGCUAGGGUUAGGGUUAGGGUUAGGGUUGGAGUUAGGGUUAGUGUUGGAGCUAGGGUUAGGGUUGGGCUUGGAGCUAGGAUUUUUCUGAGUGCAAUGAACCAACUCCCGAGUCUCUUGGACAUUCCUAAAAAAAUUUGAUUUUUUCCCAUAGGAAUGCAUGGGUUAGGGUUAGGGUUAGGGUUGGAGCUAGGGUUAGGGUUAGGGUUAGUGUUGGAGCUAGGGUUAGGGUUGGGCUUGGAGCUAGGACUUUUCUGAGUGCAAUGAACCAACUCCCGAGUCUCUAGGACGUUCCCUAAAAAAAUUUGAUUUUUUCCCAUAGGAAUGCAUGGGUUAGGGUUAGGGUUAGGGUUGGAGCUAGGGUUAGGGUUAGGGUUAGGGUUGGAGUUAGGGUUAGUGUUGGAGCUAGGGUUAGGGUUGGGCUUGGAGCUAGGAUUUUUCUGAGUGCACUGAACCAACUCCCGAGUCUCUAGGACAUUCCUAAAAAAAUUUGAUUUUUUCCCAUAGGAAUGCAUGGGUUAGGGUUAUGGUUAGGGUUAGGGUUGGAGCUAGGGUUAGGGUUAGGGUUAGGGUUGGAGUUAGGGUUAGUGUUGGAGCUAGGGUUAGGGUUGGGCUUGGAGCUAGGAUUUUUCUGAGUGCAAUGAACCAACUCCCGAGUCUCUAGGACGUUCCUAAAAAAUUUGAUUUUUUCCCAUAGGAAUGCAUGGGUUAGGGUUAGGGUUAGGGUUGGAGCUAGGGUUAGGGUUAGGGUUAGGGUUGGAGUUAGGGUUAGUGUUGGAGCUAGGGUUAGGGUUGGGCUUGGAGCUAGGAUUUUUCUGAGUGCAAUGAACCAACUCCCGAGUCUCUAGGACGUUCCUAAAAAAAUUUGAUUUUUUCCCAUAGGAAUGCAUGGGUUAGGGUUAGGGUUAGGGUUAGGGUUGGAUCUAGGGUUAGGGUUAGGGUUAGGGUUGGAGUUAGGGUUAGUGUUGGAGCUAGGGUUAGGGUUGGGCUUGGAGCUAGGAUUUUUCUGAGUGCAAUGAACCAACCCCGAGUCUCUAGGACGUUCCUAAAAAAAUUUGAUUUUUUCCCAUAGGAAUGCAUGGGUUAGGGUUAUGGUUAGGGUUAGGGUUGGAGCUAGGGUUAGGGUUAGGGUUAGGGUUGGAGUUAGGGUUAGUGUUGGAGCUAGGGUUAGGGUUGGGCUUGGAGCUAGGAUUUUUCUGAGUGCACUGAACCAACUCCCGAGUCUCUAGGACAUUCCUAAAAAAAAUUGAUUUUUUCCCAUAGGAAUGCAUGGGUUAGGGUUAGGGUUAGGGUUGGAGCUAGGGUUAGGGUUAGGGUUGGAGUUAGGGUUAGUGUUGGAGCUAGGGUUAGGGUUGGGCUUGGAGCUAGGACUUUUCUGAGUGCAAUGAACCAACUCCCGAGUCUCUAGGACGUUCCCUAAAAAAAUUUGAUUUUUUCCCAUAGGAAUGCAUGGGUUAGGGUUAGGGUUAGGGUUGGAGCUAGGGUUAGGGUUAGGGUUAGGGUUGGAGUUAGGGUUAGUGUUGGAGCUAGGGUUAGGGUUGGGCUUGGAGCUAGGAUUUUUCUGAGUGCACUGAACCAACUCCCGAGUCUCUAGGACAUUCCUAAAAAAAAUUGAUUUUUUUCCCAUAGGAAUGCAUGGGUUAGGGUUAGGGUUAGGGUUGGAGCUAGGGUUAGGGUUAGGGUUAGGGUUGGAGUUAGGGUUAGUGUUGGAGCUAGGGUUAGGGUUGGGCUUGGAGCUAGGAUUUUUCUGAGUGCACUGAACCAACUCCCGAGUCUCUAGGACAUUCCUAAAAAAAUUUGAUUUUUUCCCAUAGGAAUGCAUGGGUUAGGGCUAUGGUUAGGGUAAGGGUUGGAGCUAGGGUUAGGGUUAGGGUGAGGGUUGGAGUUAGGGUUAGUGUUGGAGCUAGGGUUAGGGUUGGGCUUGGAGCUAGGAUUUUUCUGAGUGCAAUGAACCAACUCCCGAGUCUCUUGGACAUUCCUAAAAAAAUUUGAUUUUUUCCCAUAGGAAUGCAUGGGUUAGGGUUAGGGUUAGGGUUGGAGCUAGGGUUAGGGUUAGGGUUAGGGUUGGAGUUAGGGUUAGUGUUGGAGCUAGGGUUAGGGUUGGGCUUGGAGCUAGGAUUUUUCUGAGUGCAAUGAACCAACUCCCGAGUCUCUAGGACGUUCCUAAAAAAAUUUGAUUUUUUCCCAUAGGAAUGCAUGGGUUAGGGUUAGGGUUAGGGUUAGGGUUGGAGCUAGGGUUAGGGUUAGGGUUAGGGUUGGAGUUAGGGUUAGUGUUGGAGCUAGGGUUAGGGUUGGGCUUGGAGCUAGGAUUUUUCUGAGUGCAAUGAACCAACCCCGAGUCUCUAGGACGUUCCUAAAAAAAUUUGAUUUUUUCCCAUAGGAAUGCAUGGGUUAGGGUUAUGGUUAGGGUUAGGGUUGGAGCUAGGGUUAGGGUUAGGGUUAGGGUUGGAGUUAGGGUUAGUGUUUGAGCUAGGGUUAGGGUUGGGCUUGGAGCUAGGAUUUUUCUGAGUGCAAUGAACCAACUCCCGAGUCUCUAGGACGUUCCUAAAAAAAUUUGAUUUUUUCCCAUAGGAAUGCAUGGGUUAGGGUUAGGGUUAGGGUUGGAGCUAGGGUUAGGGUUAGGGUUAGGGUUGGAGUUAGGGUUAGUGUUGGAGCUAGGGUUAGGGUUGGGCUUGGAGCUAGGAUUUUUCUGAGUGCAAUGAACCAACUCCCGAGUCUCUAGGACGUUCCUAAAACAAUUUGAUUUUUUCCCAUAGGAAUGCAUGGGUUAGGGUUAGGGUUAGGGUUGGAGCUAGGGUUAGGGUUAGGGUUAGGGUUGGAGUUAGGGUUAGUGUUGGAGCUAGGGUUAGGGUUGGGCUUGGAGCUAGGACUUUUCUGAGUGCAAUGAACCAACUCCCGAGUCUCUAGGACGUUCCCUAAAAAAAUUUGAUUUUUUCCCAUAGGAAUGCAUGGGUUAGGGUUAGGGUUAGGGUUGGAGCUAGGGUUAGGGUUAGGGUUAGGGUUAGAGUUAGGGUUAGUGUUGGAGCUAGGGUUAGGGUUGGGCUUGGAGCUAGGAUUUUUCUGAGUGCACUGAACCAACUCCCGAGUCUCUAGGACAUUCCUAAAAAAAUUGAUUUUUUUCCAUAGGAAUGCAUGGGUUAGGGUUAGGGUUAGGGUUGGAGCUAGGGUUAGUGUUAGGUUUAGGGUUGGAGUUAGGGUUAGUGUUUGAGCUAGGGUUAGGGCUGGGCUUGGAGCUAGGAUUUUUCUGAGUGCAAUGAACCAACUCCCGAGUCUCUAGGACGUUCCUAAAAAAAAUUGAUUUUUUCCCAUAGGAAUGCAUGGGUUAGGGUUAGGGUUAGGGUUGGAGCUAGGGUUAGGGUUAGGGUUAGGGUUGGAGUUAGGGUUAGUGUUGGAGCUAGGGUUAGGGUUGGGCUUGGAGCUAGGAUUUUUCUGAGUGCAAUGAACCAACUCCCGAGUCUCUAGGACGUUCCUAAAAAAAUUUGAUUUUUUCCCAUAGGAAUGCAUGGGUUAGGGUUAGGGUUAGGGUUGGAGCUAGGGUUAGGGUUAGGGUUAGGGUUGGAGUUAGGGUUAGUGUUGGAGCUAGGGUUAGGGUUGGGCUUGGAGCUAGGAUUUUUCUGAGUGCACUGAACCAACUCCCGAGUCUCUAGGACAUUCCUAAAAAAAUUUGAUUUUUUCCCAUAGGAAUGCAUGGGUUAGGGUUAGGGUUAGGGUUGGAGCUAGGGUUAGGGUUAGGGUUGGAGUUAGGGUUAGUGUUGGAGCUAGGGUUAGGGUUGGGCUUGGAGCUAGGACUUUUCUGAGUGCAAUGAACCAACUCCCGAGUCUCUAGGACGUUCCCUAAAAAAAAUUGAUUUUUUCCCAUAGGAAUGCAUGGGUUAGGGUUAGGGUUAGGGUUGGAGCUAGGGUUAGGGUUAGGGUUAGGGUUAGAGUUAGGGUUAGUGUUGGAGCUAGGGUUAGGGUUGGGCUUGGAGCUAGGAUUUUUCUGAGUGCACUGAACCAACUCCCGAGUCUCUAGGACAUUCCUAAAAAAAAUUGAUUUUUUUCCAUAGGAAUGCAUGGGUUAGGGUUAGGGUUAGGGUUGGAGCUAGGGUUAGUGUUAGGUUUAGGGUUGGAGUUAGGGUUAGUGUUGGAGUUAGGGUUAGGGUUGGGCUUGGAGCUAGGAUUUUUCUGAGUGCAAUGAACCAACUCCCGAGUCUCUAGGACGUUCCUAAAAAAAUUUGAUUUUUUCCCAUAGGAAUGCAUGGGUUAGGGUUAGGGUUAGGGUUGGAGCUAGGGUUAGGGUUAGGGUUAGGGUUGGAGUUAGGGUUAGUGUUGGAGCUAGGGUUAGGGUUGGGCUUGGAGCUAGGAUUUUUCUGAGUGCACUGAACCAACUCCCGAGUCUCUAGGACAUUCCUAAAAAAAUUUGAUUUUUUCCCAUAGGAAUGCAUGGGUUAGGGUUAUGGUUAGGGUUAGGGUUGGAGCUAGGGUUAGGGUUAGGGUUAGGGUUGGAGUUAGGGUUAGUGUUGGAGCUAGGGUUAGGGUUGGGCUUGGAGCUAGGAUUUUUCUGAGAGGCACUGAACCAACUCCCGAGUCUCUAGGACAUUCCUAAAAAAAUUUGAUUUUUCCCAUAGGAAUGCAUGGGUUAGGGUUAUGGUUAGGGUUAGGGUUGGAGCUAGGGUUAGGGUUAGGGUUAGGGUUGGAGUUAUGGUUAGUGUUGGAGCUAGGGUUAGGGUUGGGCUUGGAGCUAGGAUUUUUCUGAGUGCAAUGAACCAACUCCCGAGUCUCUAGGACGUUCCUAAAAAAAUUUGAUUUUUUCCCAUAGGAAUGCAUGGGUUAGGGUUAGGGUUAGGGUUGGAGCUAGGGUUAGGGUUAGGGUUAGGGUUAGGGUUGGAGUUAGGGUUAGUGUUGGAGCUAGGGUUAGGGUUGGGCUUGGAGCUAGGAUUUUUCUGAGUGCACUGAACCAACUCCCGAGUCUCUAGGACAUUCCUAAAAAAAUUUGAUUUUUUCCCAUAGGAAUGCAUGGGUUAGGGUUAGGGUUAGGGUUGGAGCUAGGGUUAGGGUUAGGGUUAGGGUUGGAGUUAGGGUUAGUGUUGGAGCUAGGGUUAGGGUUGGGCUUGGACUAGGAUUUUUCUGAGUGCACUGAACCAACUCCCGAGUCUCUAGGACAUUCCUAAAAAAAUUUGAUUUUUUCCCAUAGGAAUGCAUGGGUUAGGGUUAUGGUUAGGGUUAGGGUUGGAGCUAGGGUUAGGGUUAGGGUUAGGGUUGGAGUUAGGGUUAGUGUUGGAGCUAGGGUUAGGGUUGGGCUUGGAGCUAGGAUUUUUCUGAGUGCAAUGAACCAACUCCCGAGUCUCUUGGACGUUCCUAAAAAAAUUUGAUUUUUUCCCAUAGGAAUGCAUGGGUUAGGGUUAGGGUUAGGGUUGGAGCUAGGGUUAGGGUUAGGGUUAGGGUUGGAGUUAGGGUUAGUGUUGGAGCUAGGGUUAGGGUUGGGCUUGGAGCUAGGAUUUUUCUGAGUGCACUGAACCAACUCCCGAGUCUCUAGGACAUUCCUAAAAAAAUUUGAUUUUUUCCCAUAGGAAUGCAUGGGUUAGGGUUAUGUUUAGGGUUAGGGUUGGAGCUAGGGUUAGGGUUAGGGUUAGGGUUGGAGUUAGGGUUAGUGUUGGAGCUAGGGUUAGGGUUGGGCUUGGAGCUAGGAUUUUUCUGAGUGCAAUGAACCAACUCCCGAGUCUCUUGGACGUUCCUAAAAAAAUUUGAUUUUUUCCCAUAGGAAUGCAUGGGUUAGGGUUAGGGUUAGGGUUGGAGCUAGGGUUAGGGUUAGGGUUAGGGUUGGAGUUAGGGUUAGUGUUGGAGCUAGGGUUAGGGUUGGGCUUGGAGCUAGGAUUUUUCUGAGUGCAAUGAACCAACUCCCGAGUCUCUAGGACGUUCCUAAAAAAAUUUGAUUUUUUCCCAUAGGAAUGCAUGGGUUAGGGUUAGGGUUAGGGUUAGGGUUGGAGCUAGGGUUAGGGUUAGGGUUAGGGUUGGAGUUAGGGUUAGUGUUGGAGCUAGGGUUAGGGUUGGGCUUGGAGCUAGGAUUUUUCUGAGUGCAAUGAACCAACCCCGAGUCUCUAGGACGUUCCUAAAAAAUUUGAUUUUUUCCCAUAGGAAUGCAUGGGUUAGGGUUAUGGUUAGGGUUAGGGUUGGAGCUAGGGUUAGGGUUAGGGUUAGGGUUGGAGUUAGGGUUAGUGUUUGAGCUAGGGUUAGGGUUGGGCUUGGAGCUAGGAUUUUUCUGAGUGCAAUGAACCAACUCCCGAGUCUCUAGGACGUUCCUAAAAAAAUUUGAUUUUUUCCCAUAGGAAUGCAUGGGUUAGGGUUAGGGUUAGGGUUGGAGCUAGGGUUAGGGUUAGGGUUAGGGUUGGAGUUAGGGUUAGUGUUGGAGCUAGGGUUAGGGUUGGGCUUGGAGCUAGGAUUUUUCUGAGUGCAAUGAACCAACUCCCGAGUCUCUAGGACGUUCCUAAAACAAUUUGAUUUUUUCCCAUAGGAAUGCAUGGGUUAGGGUUAGGGUUAGGGUUGGAGCUAGGGUUAGGGUUAGGGUUAGGGUUGGAGUUAGGGUUAGUGUUGGAGCUAGGGUUAGGGUUGGGCUUGGAGCUAGGACUUUUCUGAGUGCAAUGAACCAACUCCCGAGUCUCUAGGACGUUCCCUAAAAAAAUUUGAUUUUUUCCCAUAGGAAUGCAUGGGUUAGGGUUAGGGUUAGGGUUGGAGCUAGGGUUAGGGUUAGGGUUAGGGUUAGAGUUAGGGUUAGUGUUGGAGCUAGGGUUAGGGUUGGGCUUGGAGCUAGGAUUUUUCUGAGUGCACUGAACCAACUCCCGAGUCUCUAGGACAUUCCUAAAAAAAUUGAUUUUUUUCCAUAGGAAUGCAUGGGUUAGGGUUAGGGUUAGGGUUGGAGCUAGGGUUAGUGUUAGGUUUAGGGUUGGAGUUAGGGUUAGUGUUGGAGCUAGGGUUAGGGUUGGGCUUGGAGCUAGGAUUUUUCUGAGUGCAAUGAACCAACUCCCGAGUCUCUAGGACGUUCCUAAAAAAAUUGAUUUUUUCCCAUAGGAAUGCAUGGGUUAGGGUUAGGGUUAGGGUUGGAGCUAGGGUUAGGGUUAGGGUUAGGGUUGGAGUUAGGGUUAGUGUUGGAGCUAGGGUUAGGGUUGGGCUUGGAGCUAGGAUUUUUCUGAGUGCAAUGAACCAACUCCCGAGUCUCUAGGACGUUCCUAAAAAAAUUUGAUUUUUUCCCAUAGGAAUGCAUGGGUUAGGGUUAGGGUUAGGGUUGGAGCUAGGGUUAGGGUUAGGGUUAGGGUUGGAGUUAGGGUUAGUGUUGGAGCUAGGGUUAGGGUUGGGCUUGGAGCUAGGAUUUUUCUGAGUGCACUGAACCAACUCCCGAGUCUCUAGGACAUUCCUAAAAAAAUUUGAUUUUUUCCCAUAGGAAUGCAUGGGUUAGGGUUAGGGUUAGGGUUGGAGCUAGGGUUAGGGUUAGGGUUGGAGUUAGGGUUAGUGUUGGAGCUAGGGUUAGGGUUGGGCUUGGAGCUAGGACUUUUCUGAGUGCAAUGAACCAACUCCCGAGUCUCUAGGACGUUCCCUAAAAAAAAUUGAUUUUUUCCCAUAGGAAUGCAUGGGUUAGGGUUAGGGUUAGGGUUGGAGCUAGGGUUAGGGUUAGGGUUAGGGUUAGAGUUAGGGUUAGUGUUGGAGCUAGGGUUAGGGUUGGGCUUGGAGCUAGGAUUUUUCUGAGUGCACUGAACCAACUCCCGAGUCUCUAGGACAUUCCUAAAAAAAAUUGAUUUUUUUCCCAUAGGAAUGCAUGGGUUAGGGUUAGGGUUAGGGUUGGAGCUAGGGUUAGUGUUAGGUUUAGGGUUGGAGUUAGGGUUAGUGUUGGAGUUAGGGUUAGGGUUGGGCUUGGAGCUAGGAUUUUUCUGAGUGCAAUGAACCAACUCCCGAGUCUCUAGGACGUUCCUAAAAAAAUUUGAUUUUUUCCCAUAGGAAUGCAUGGGUUAGGGUUAGGGUUAGGGUUGGAGCUAGGGUUAGGGUUAGGGUUAGGGUUGGAGUUAGGGUUAGUGUUGGAGCUAGGGUUAGGGUUGGGCUUGGAGCUAGGAUUUUUCUGAGUGCACUGAACCAACUCCCGAGUCUCUAGGACAUUCCUAAAAAAAUUUGAUUUUUUCCCAUAGGAAUGCAUGGGUUAGGGUUAUGGUUAGGGUUAGGGUUGGAGCUAGGGUUAGGGUUAGGGUUAGGGUUGGAGUUAGGGUUAGUGUUGGAGCUAGGGUUAGGGUUGGGCUUGGAGCUAGGAUUUUUCUGAGAGCACUGAACCAACUCCCGAGUCUCUAGGACAUUCCUAAAAAAAUUUGAUUUUUUCCCAUAGGAAUGCAUGGGUUAGGGUUAUGGUUAGGGUUAGGGUUGGAGCUAGGGUUAGGGUUAGGGUUAGGGUUGGAGUUAUGGUUAGUGUUGGAGCUAGGGUUAGGGUUGGGCUUGGAGCUAGGAUUUUUCUGAGUGCAAUGAACCAACUCCAGAGUCUCUAGGACGUUCCUAAAAAAAUUUGAUUUUUUCCCAUAGGAAUGCAUGGGUUAGGGUUAGGGUUAGGGUUGGAGCUAGGGUUAGGGUUAGGGUUAGGGUUAGGGUUGGAGUUAGGGUUAGUGUUGGAGCUAGGGUUAGGGUUGGGCUUGGAGCUAGGAUUUUUCUGAGUGCACUGAACCAACUCCCGAGUCUCUAGGACAUUCCUAAAAAAAUUUGAUUUUUUCCCAUAGGAAUGCAUGGGUUAGGGUUAGGGUUAGGGUUGGAGCUAGGGUUAGGGUUAGGGUUAGGGUUGGAGUUAGGGUUAGUGUUGGAGCUAGGGUUAGGGUUGGGCUUGGAGCUAGGAUUUUUCUGAGUGCACUGAACCAACUCCCGAGUCUCUAGGACAUUCCUAAAAAAUUUGAUUUUUUCCCAUAGGAAUGCAUGGGUUAGGGUUAUGGUUAGGGUUAGGGUUGGAGCUAGGGUUAGGGUUAGGGUUAGGGUUGGAGUUAGGGUUAGUGUUGGAGCUAGGGUUAGGGUUGGGCUUGGAGCUAGGAUUUUUCUGAGUGCAAUGAACCAACUCCCGAGUCUCUUGGACGUUCCUAAAAAAAUUUGAUUUUUUCCCAUAGGAAUGCAUGGGUUAGGGUUAGGGUUAGGGUUGGAGCUAGGGUUAGGGUUAGGGUUAGGGUUGGAGUUAGGGUUAGUGUUGGAGCUAGGGUUAGGGUUGGGCUUGGAGCUAGGAUUUUUCUGAGUGCACUGAACCAACUCCCGAGUCUCUAGGACAUUCCUAAAAAAAUUAGAUUUUUUCCCAUAGGAAUGCAUGGGUUAGGGUUAUGUUUAGGGUUAGGGUUGGAGCUAGGGUUAGGGUUAGGGUUAGGGUUGGAGUUAGGGUUAGUGUUGGAGCUAGGGUUAGGGUUGGGCUUGGAGCUAGGAUUUUUCUGAGUGCAAUGAACCAACUCCCGAGUCUCUUGGACGUUCCUAAAAAAAUUUGAUUUUUUCCCAUAGGAAUGCAUGGGUUAGGGUUAGGGUUAGGGUUGGAGCUAGGGUUAGGGUUAGGGUUAGGGUUGGAGUUAGGGUUAGUGUUGGAGCUAGGGUUAGGGUUGGGCUUGGAGCUAGGAUUUUUCUGAGUGCAAUGAACCAACUCCCGAGUCUCUAGGACGUUCCUAAAAAAAUUUGAUUUUUUCCCAUAGGAAUGCAUGGGUUAGGGUUAGGGUUAGGGUUGGAGCUAGGGUUAGGGUUAGGGUUAGGGUUGGAGUUAAGGUUAGUGUUGGAGCUAGGGUUAGGGUUGGGCUUGGAGCUAGGAUUUUUCUGAGUGCAAUGAACCAACUACCGAGUCUCUAGGACGUUCCUAAAAAAAUUUGAUUUUUUCCCAUAGGAAUGCAUGGGUUAGGGUUAUGGUUAGGGUUAGGGUUGGAGCUAGGGUUAGGGUUAGGGUUAGGGUUGGAGUUAGGGUUAGUGUUGGAGCUAGGGUUAGGGUUGGGCUUGGAGCUAGGAUUUUUCUGAGUGCAAUGAACCAACCCCCGAGUCUCUAGGACGUUCCUAAAAAAAUUUGAUUUUUUCCCAUAGGAAUGCAUGGGUUAGGGUUAUGGUUAGGGUUAGGGUUGGAGCUAGGGUUAGGGUUAGGGUUAGGGUUGGAGUUAGGGUUAGUGUUGGAGCUAGGGUUAGGGUUGGGCUUGGAGCUAGGAUUUUUCUGAGUGCAAUGAACCAACUCCCGAGUCUCUAGGACAUUCCUAAAAAAAUUUGAUUUUUUCCCAUAGGAAUGCAUGGGUUAGGGUUAGGGUUAGGGUUGGAGCUAGGGUUAGGGUUAGGGUUAGGGUUGGAGUUAGGGUUAGUGUUGGAGCUAGGGUUAGGGUUGGGCUUGGAGCUAGGAUUUUUCUGAGUGCAAUGAACCAACUCCCGAGUCUCUAGGACGUUCCUAAAAAAAUUUGAUUUUUUCCCAUAGGAAUGCAUGGGUUAGGGUUAGGGUUAGGGUUGGAGCUAGGGUUAGGGUUAGGGUUAGGGUUAGUGUUGGAGCUAGGGUUAGGGUUGGGCUUGGAGCUAGGAUUUUUCUGAGUGCACUGAACCAACUCCCGAGUCUCUAGGACAUUCCUAAAAAAAUUAGAUUUUUUCCCAUAGGAAUGCAUGGGUUAGGGUUAGGGUUAGGCUUGGAGCUAGGGUUAGGGUUAGGGUUAGGGUUGGAGUUAGGGUUAGUGUUGGAGCUAGGGUUAGGGUUGGGCUUGGAGCUAGGAUUUUUCUGAGUGCAAUGAACCAACUCCCGAGUCUCUAGGACGUUCCUAAAAAAAUUUGAUUUUUUCCCAUAGGAAUGCAUGGGUUAGGGUUAGGGUUAGGGUUGGAGCUAGGGUUAGGGUUAGGGUUAGGGUUGGAGUUAGGGUUAGUGUUGGAGCUAGGGUUAGGGUUGGGCUUGGAGCUAGGAUUUUUCUGAGUGCACUGAACCAACUCCCGAGUCUCUAGGACAUUCCUAAAAAAAUUUGAUUUUUUCCCAUAGGAAUGCAUGGGUUAGGGUUAUGGUUAGGGUUAGGGUUGGAGCUAGGGUUAGGGUUAGGGUUAGGGUUGGAGUUAGGGUUAGUGUUGGAGCUAGGGUUAGGGUUGGGCUUGGAGCUAGGAUUUUUCUGAGUGCACUGAACCAACUCCCGAGUCUCUAGGACAUUCCUAAAAAAAUUUGAUUUUUUCCCAUAGGAAUGCAUGGGUUAGGGUUAGGGUUAGGCUUGGAGCUAGGGUUAGGGUUAGGGUUAGGGUUGGAGUUAGGGUUAGUGUUGGAGCUAGGGUUAGGGUUGGGCUUGGAGCUAGGAUUUUUCUGAGUGCACUGAACCAACUCCCGAGUCUCUAGGACAUUCCUAAAAAAAAUUGAUUUUUUUCCCAUAGGAAUGCAUGGGUUAGGGUUAUGGUUAGGGUUAGGGUUGGAGCUAGGGUUAGGGUUGGAGUUAGGGUUAGUGUUGGAGCUAGGGUUAGGGUUAGGGUUAGGGUUAGGGUUAGGGUUAGGGUUAGGUUAGGGUUAGGGUUGGAGCUAGGGUUAGGGUUAGGGUUAGGGUUGGAGUUAGGGUUAGUGUUGGACCUAGGGUUAGGGUUGGGCUUGGAGCUAGGAUUUUUCUGAGUGCAAUGAACCAACUCCCGAGUCUCUAGGACGUUCCUAAACAAAUUUGAUUUUUUCCCAUAGGAAUGCAUGGGUUAGGGUUAGGGUUAGGGUUGGAGCUAGGGUUAGGGUUAGGGUUAGGGUUGGAGUUAGGGUUAGUGUUGGAGCUAGGGUUAGGGUUGGGCUUGGAGCUAGGAUUUUUCUGAGUGCAAUGAACCAACUCCCGAGUCUCUAGGACGUUCCUAAAAAAUUUGAUUUUUUCCCAUAGGAAUGCAUGGGUUAGGGUUAGGGUUAGGGUUGGAGCUAGGGUUAGGGUUAGGGUUAGGGUUGGAGUUAAGGUUAGUGUUGGAGCUAGGGUUAGGGUUGGGCUUGGAGCUAGGAUUUUUCUGAGUGCAAUGAACCAACUCCCGAGUCUCUAGGACGUUCCUAAAAAAAAUUGAUUUUUUCCCAUAGGAAUGCAUGGGUUAGGGUUAUGGUUAGGGUUAGGGUUGGAGCUAGGGUUAGGGUUAGGGUUAGGGUUGGAGUUAGGGUUAGUGUUGGAGCUAGGGUUAGGGUUGGGCUUGGAGCUAGGAUUUUUCUGAGUGCAAUGAACCAACCCCCGAGUCUCUAGGACGUUCCUAAAAAAAUUUGAUUUUUUCCCAUAGGAAUGCAUGGGUUAGGGUUAUGGUUAGGGUUAGGGUUGGAGCUAGGGUUAGGGUUAGGGUUAGGGUUGGAGUUAGGGUUAGUGUUGGAGCUAGGGUUAGGGUUGGGCUUGGAGCUAGGAUUUUUCUGAGUGCAAUGAACCAACUCCCGAGUCUCUAGGACGUUCCUAAAAAAAUUUGAUUUUUUUCCCCNNNNNNNNNNNNNNNNNNNNNNNNNNNNNNNNNNNNNNNNNNNNNNNNNNNNNNNNNNNNNNNNNNNNNNNNNNNNNNNNNNNNNNNNNNNNNNNNNNNNNNNNNNNNNNNNNNNNNNNNNNNNNNNNNNNNNNNNNNNNNNNNNNNNNNNNNNNNNNNNNNNNNNNNNNNNNNNNNNNNNNNNNNNNNNNNNNNNNNNNGUCUCUGAGGACAUUCCUAAAAAAAAUUUGAUUUUUCCCAUAGGAAUGCAUGGAGUUGGGGUUAGGGUUAGGGUUGGAGCUAGGGUUAGGGUUAGGGUUGGGGUUGGAGUUAGGGUUAGUGUUGGAGCUAGGGUUAGGGUUGGGCUUGGAGCUAGGAUUUUUCUGAGUGCAAUGAACCAACUCCCGAGUCUCUAGGACGUUCCUAAAAAAAUUUGAUUUUUUCCCAUAGGAAUGCAUGGGUUAGGGUUAGGGUUAGGGUUGGAGCUAGGGUUAGGGUUAGGGUUAGGGUUGGAGUUAGGGUUAGUGUUGGAGCUAGGGUUAGGGUUGGGCUUGGAGCUAGGAUUUUUCUGAGUGCACUGAACCAACUCCCGAGUCUCUAGGACGUUCCUAAAAAAAUUUGAUUUUUUUCCCAUAGGAAUGCAUGGGUUAGGGUUAUGGUUAGGGUUGGAGCUAGGGUUAGGGUUAGGGUUAGGGUUGGAGUUAGGGUUAGUGUUGGAGCUAGGGUUAGGGUUGGGCUUGGAGCUAGGAUUUUUCUGAGUGCACUGAACCAACUCCCGAGUCUCUAGGACGUUCCUAAAAAAAUUUGAUUUUUUCCCAUAGGAAUGCAUGGGUUAGGGUUAGGGUUAGGGUUGGAGCUAGGGUUAGGGUUAGGGUUAGGGUUGGAGUUAGGGUUAGUGUUGGAGCUAGGGUUAGGGUUGGGCUUGGAGCUAGGAUUUUUCUGAGUGCACUGAACCAACUCCCGAGUCUCUAGGACGUUCCUAAAAAAAAAUUUGAUUUUUUCCCAUAGGAAAUGCAUGGGUUAGGGUUAGGGUUAGGGUUGGAGCUAGGGUUAGGGUUAGGGUUAGGGUUGGAGUUAGGGUUAGUGUUGGAGCUAGGGUUAGGGUUGGGCUUGGAGCUAGGAUUUUUCUGAGUGCACUGAACCAACUCCCGAGUCUCUAGGACAUUCCUAAAAAAAUUUGAUUUUUUCCCAUAGGAAUGCAUGGGUUAGGGUUAUGGUUGGGGUUAGGGUUGGAGCUAGGGUUAGGGUUAGGGUUAGGGUUGGAGUUAGGGUUAGUGUUGGAGCUAGGGUUAGGGUUGGGCUUGGAGCUAGGAUUUUUCUGAGUGCACUGAACCAACUCCCGAGUCUCUAGGACAUUCCUAAAAAAAAUUGAUUUUUUCCCAUAGGAAUGCAUGGGUUAGGGUUAUGGUUAGGGUUAGGGUUGGAGCUAGGGUUAGGGUUAGGGUUAGGGUUGGAGUUAGGGUUAGUGUUGGAGCUAGGGUUAGGGUUGGGCUUGGAGCUAGGAUUUUUCUGAGUGCACUGAACCAACUCCCGAGUCUCUAGGACAUUCCUAAAAAAAUUUGAUUUUUCCCAUAGGAAUGCAUGGGUUAGGGUUAGGGUUAGGGUUGGAGCUAGGGUUAGGGUUAGGGUUAGGGUUGGAGUUAGGGUUAGUGUUGGAGCUAGGGUUAGGGUUGGGCUUGGAGCUAGGAUUUUUCUGAGUGCACUGAACCAACUCCCGAGUCUCUAGGACAUUCCUAAAAAAAUUUGAUUUUUUCCCAUAGGAAUGCAUGGGUUAGGGUUAGGGUUAGGGUUGGAGCUAGGGUUAGGGUUAGGGUUAGGGUUGGAGUUAGGGUUAGUGUUGGAGCUAGGGUUAGGGUUGGGCUUGGAGCUAGGAUUUUUCUGAGUGCACUGAACCAACUCCCGAGUCUCUAGGACAUUCCUAAAAAAAUUUGAUUUUUCCCAUAGGAAUGCAUGGGUUAGGGUUAUGGUUAGUUAGGGUUGGAGCUAGGGUUAGGGUUAGGGUUAGGGUUGGAGUUAGGGUUAGUGUUGGAGCUAGGGUUAGGGUUGGGCUUGGAGCUAGGAUUUUUCUGAGUGCAAUGAACCAACUCCCGAGUCUCUAGGACGUUCCUAAAAAAAUUUGAUUUUUUUCCCAUAGGAAUGCAUGGGUUAGGGUUAGGGUUAGGGUUAGGGUUGGAGCUAGGGUUAGGGUUAGGGUUAGGGUUGGAGUUAGGGUUAGUGUUGGAGCUAGGGUUAGGGUUGGGCUUGGAGCUAGGAUUUUUCUGAGUGCAAUGAACCAACUCCCGAGUCUCUAGGACGUUCCUAAAAAAAUUUGAUUUUUUCCCAUAGGAAUGCAUGGGUUAGGGUUAUGGUUAGGGUUAGGGUUGGAGCUAGGGUUAGGGUUAGGGUUAGGGUUGGAGUUAGGGUUAGUGUUGGAGCUAGGGUUAGGGUUGGGCUUGGAGCUAGGAUUUUCUGAGUGCAAUGAACCAACUCCCGAGUCUCUAGGACGUUCCUAAAAAAAUUUGAUUUUUUCCCAUAGGAAUGCAUGGGUUAGGGUUAGGGUUAGGGUUGGAGCUAGGGUUAGGGUUAGGGUUAGGGUUGGAGUUAGGGUUAGUGUUGGAGCUAGGGUUAGGGUUGGGCUUGGAGCUAGGAUUUUUCUGAGUGCAAUGAACCAACUCCCGAGUCUCUAGGACGUUCCUAAAAAAUUUGAUUUUUUCCCAUAGGAAUGCAUGGGUUAGGGUUAGGGUUAGGGUUAGGGUUGGAGCUAGGGUUAGGGUUAGGGUUAGGGUUGGAGUUAGGGUUAGUGUUGGAGCUAGGGUUAGGGUUGGGCUUGGAGCUAGGAUUUUCUGAGUGCACUGAACCAACUCCCGAGUCUCUAGGACAUUCCUAAAAAAAUUUGAUUUUUUCCCAUAGGAAUGCAUGGGUUAGGGUUAGGGUUAGGGUUAGGGUUGGAGCUAGGGUUAGGGUUAGGGUUAGGGUUGGAGUUAGGGUUAGUGUUGGAGCUAGGGUUAGGGUUGGGCUUGGAGCUAGGAUUUUUCUGAGUGCACUGAACCAACUCCCGAGUCUCUAGGACAUUCCUAAAAAAAUUUGAUUUUUCCCAUAGGAAUGCAUGGGUUAGGGUUAGGGUUAGGGUUGGAGCUAGGGUUAGGGUUAGGGUUGGAGUUAGGGUUAGUGUUGGAGCUAGGGUUAGGGUUGGGCUUGGAGCUAGGAUUUUUCUGAGUGCAAUGAACCAACUCCCGAGUCUCUAGGACGUUCCUAAAAAAUUUGAUUUUUUCCCAUAGGAAUGCAUGGGUUAGGGUUAGGGUUAGGGUUGGAGCUAGGGUUAGGGUUAGGGUUAGGGUUGGAGUUAGGGUUAGUGUUGGAGCUAGGGUUAGGGUUGGGCUUGGAGCUAGGAUUUUUCUGAGUGCACUGAACCAACUCCCGAGUCUCUAGGACGUUCCUAAAAAAAUUUGAUUUUUUCCCAUAGGAAUGCAUGGGUUAGGGUUAGGGUUAGGGUUAGGGUUGGAGCUAGGGUUAGGGUUAGGGUUAGGGUUGGAGUUAGGGUUAGUGUUGGAGCUAGGGUUAGGGUUGGGCUUGGAGCUAGGAUUUUUCUGAGUGCACUGAACCAACUCCCGAGUCUCUCUAGGAGGCGUUCCUAAAAAAUUUGAUUUUUUCCCAUAGGAAUGCAUGGGUUAGGGUUAGGGUUAGGGUUAGGGUUGGAGCUAGGGUUAGGGUUAGGGUUAGGGUUGGAGUUAGGGUUAGUGUUGGAGCUAGGGUUAGGGUUGGGCUUGGAGCUAGGAUUUUUCUGAGUGCAAUGAACCAACUCCCGAGUCUCUUGGACGUUCCUAAAAAAAUUUGAUUUUUUUCCCAUAGGAAUGCAUGGGUUAGGGUUAGGGUUAGGGUUGGAGCUAGGGUUAGGGUUAGGGUUAGGGUUGGAGUUAGGGUUAGUGUUGGAGCUAGGGUUAGGGUUGGGCUUGGAGCUAGGAUUUUUCUGAGUGCACUGAACCAACUCCCGAGUCUCUAGGACAUUCCUAAAAAAAUUUGAUUUUUUCCCAUAGGAAUGCAUGGGUUAGGGUUAGGGUUAGGGUUGGAGCUAGGGUUAGGGUUAGGGUUAGGGUUGGAGUUAGGGUUAGUGUUGGAGCUAGGGUUAGGGUUGGGCUUGGAGCUAGGAUUUUUCUGAGUGCACUGAACCAACUCCCGAGUCUCUAGGACAUUCCUAAAAAAAUUUGAUUUUUUCCCAUAGGAAUGCAUGGGUUAGGGUUAUGGUUAGGGUUAGGGUUGGAGCUAGGGUUAGGGUUAGGGUUAGGGUUGGAGUUAGGGUUAGUGUUGGAGCUAGGGUUAGGGUUGGGCUUGGAGCUAGGAUUUUUCUGAGUGCACUGAACCAACUCCCGAGUCUCUAGGACGUUCCUAAAAAAUUUGAUUUUUUCCCAUAGGAAUGCAUGGGUUAGGGUUAUGGUUAGGGUUAGGGUUGGAGCUAGGGUUAGGGUUAGGGUUAGGGUUGGAGUUAGGGUUAGUGUUGGAGCUAGGGUUAGGGUUGGGCUUGGAGCUAGGAUUUUUCUGAGUGCACUGAACCAACUCCCGAGUCUCUAGGACAUUCCUAAAAAAAUUUGAUUUUUUUCCCAUAGGAAUGCAUGGGUUAGGGUUAGGGUUAGGGUUGGAGCUAGGGUUAGGGUUAGGGUUAGGGUUGGAGUUAGGGUUAGUGUUGGAGCUAGGGUUAGGGUUGGGCUUGGAGCUAGGAUUUUUCUGAGUGCACUGAACCAACUCCCGAGUCUCUAGGACAUUCCUAAAAAAAAAUUUGAUUUUUUCCCAUAGGAAUGCAUGGGUUAGGGUUAUGGUUAGGGUUAGGGUUGGAGCUAGGGUUAGGGUUAGGGUUAGGGUUGGAGUUAGGGUUAGUGUUGGAGCUAGGGUUAGGGUUGGGCUUGGAGCUAGGAUUUUUCUGAGUGCACUGAACCAACUCCCGAGUCUCUAGGACAUUCCUAAAAAAAAAUUGAUUUUUUCCCAUAGGAAUGCAUGGGUUAGGGUUAUGGUUAGGGUUAGGGUUGGAGCUAGGGUUAGGGUUAGGGUUAGGGUUGGAGUUAGGGUUAGUGUUGGAGCUAGGGUUAGGGUUGGGCUUGGAGCUAGGAUUUUUCUGAGUGCAAUGAACCAACUCCCGAGUCUCUAGGACAUUCCUAAAAAAAUUUGAUUUUUUCCCAUAGGAAUGCAUGGGUUAGGGUUAGGGUUAGGGUUGGAGCUAGGGUUAGGGUUAGGGUUGGGUUGGAGUUAGGGUUAGUGUUGGAGCUAGGGUUAGGGUUGGGCUUGGAGCUAGGAUUUUUCUGAGUGCAAUGAACCAACUCCCGAGUCUCUAGGACAUUCCUAAAAAAAUUUGAUUUUUUCCCAUAGGAAUGCAUGGGUUAGGGUUAGGGUUAGGGUUGGAGCUAGGGUUAGGGUUAGGGUUAGGGUUGGAGUUAGGGUUAGUGUUGGAGCUAGGGUUAGGGUUGGGCUUGGAGCUAGGAUUUUUCUGAGUGCAAUGAACCAACUCCCGAGUCUCUAGGACAUUCCUAAAAAAAAAUUUGAUUUUUUCCCAUAGGAAUGCAUGGGUUAGGGUUAUGGUUAGGGUUAGGGUUGGAGCUAGGGUUAGGGUUAGGGUUAGGGUUGGAGUUAGGGUUAGUGUUGGAGCUAGGGUUAGGGUUGGGCUUGGAGCUAGGAUUUUUCUGAGUGCAAUGAACCAACUCCCGAGUCUCUAGGACGUUCUAAAAAAAAUUUGAUUUUUUCCCAUAGGAAUGCAUGGGUUAGGGUUAUGGUUAGGGUUAGGGUUGGAGCUAGGGUUAGGGUUAGGGUUAGGGUUGGAGUUAGGGUUAGUGUUGGAGCUAGGGUUAGGGUUGGGCUUGGAGCUAGGAUUUUUCUGAGUGCAAUGAACCAACUCCCGAGUCUCUAGGACGUUCCUAAAAAAAUUUGAUUUUUUCCCAUAGGAAUGCAUGGGUUAGGGUUAGGGUUAGGGUUGGAGCUAGGGUUAGGGUUAGGGUUAGGGUUGGAGUUAGGGUUAGUGUUGGAGCUAGGGUUAGGGUUGGGCUUGGAGCUAGGAUUUUUCUGAGUGCAAUGAACCAACUCCCGAGUCUCUAGGACGUUCCUAAAAAAAAAUUUGAUUUUUUCCCAUAGGAAUGCAUGGGUUAGGGUUAGGGUUAGGGUUGGAGCUAGGGUUAGGGUUAGGGUUAGGGUUGGAGUUAGGGUUAGUGUUGGAGCCAGGGUUAGGGUUGGGCUUGGAGCUAGGAUUUUUCUGAGUGCACUGAACCAACUCCCGAGUCUCUAGGACAUUCCUAAAAAAUUUGAUUUUUUUCCCAUAGGAAUGCAUGGGUUAGGGUUAGUGGUUAGGGUUAGGGUUGGAGCUAGGGUUAGGGUUAGGGUUAGGGUUGGAGUUAGGGUUAGUGUUGGAGCUAGGGUUAGGGUUGGGCUUGGAGCUAGGAUUUUUCUGAGUGCAAUGAACCAACCCCCGAGUCUCUAGGACGUUCCUAAAAAAAUUUGAUUUUUUCCCUAUAGGAAUGCAUGGGUUAGGGUUAGGGUUAGGGUUGGAGCUAGGGUUAGGGUUAGGGUUAGGGUUGGAGUUAGGGUUAGUGUUGGAGCUAGGGUUAGGGUUGGGCUUGGAGCUAGGAUUUUUCUGAGUGCAAUGAACCAACUCCCGAGUCUCUAGGACGUUCCUAAAAAAAUUUGAUUUUUUCCCAUAGGAAUGCAUGGGUUAGGGUUAGGGUUAGGGUUGGAGCUAGGGUUAGGGUUAGGGUUAGGGUUGGAGUUAGGGUUAGUGUUGGAGCUAGGGUUAGGGUUGGGCUUGGAGCUAGGUUUUUCUGAGGGUGCACUGAACCAACUCCCGAGUCUCUAGGACAUUCCUAAAAAAAUUUGAUUUUUUCCCAUAGGAAUGCAUGGGUUAGGGUUAUGGUUAGGGUUGGAGCUAGGGUUAGGGUUAGGGUUAGGGUUGGAGUUAGGGUUAGUGUUGGAGCUAGGGUUAGGGUUGGGCUUGGAGCUAGGAUUUUUCUGAGUGCACUGAACCAACUCCCGAGUCUCUAGGACAUUCCUAAAAAAAUUUGAUUUUUUCCCAUAGGAAUGCAUGGGUUAGGGUUAGGGUUAGGGUUGGAGCUAGGGUUAGGGUUAGGGUUAGGGUUGGAGUUAGGGUUAGUGUUGGAGCUAGGGUUAGGGUUGGGCUUGGAGCUAGGAUUUUUCUGAGUGCACUGAACCAACUCCCGAGUCUCUAGGACAUUCCUAAAAAAAUUUGAUUUUUCCCAUAGGAAUGCAUGGGUUAGGGUUAUGGUUAGGGUUAGGGUUGGAGCUAGGGUUAGGGUUAGGGUUAGGGUUGGAGUUAGGGUUAGUGUUGGAGCUAGGGUUAGGGUUGGGCUUGGAGCUAGGAUUUUUCUGAGUGCACUGAACCAACUCCCGAGUCUCUAGGACAUUCCUAAAAAAAUUUGAUUUUUUUCCCAUAGGAAUGCAUGGGUUAGGGUUAGGGUUAUGGUUAGGGUUAGGGUUAGGGUUAGGGUUAGGGUUGGAGUUAGGGUUAGUGUUGGAGCUAGGGUUAGGGUUGGGCUUGGAGCUAGGAUUUUUCUGAGUGCACUGAACCAACUCCCGGGUCUCUAGGACAUUCCUAAAAAAAUUUGAUUUUUUCCCAUAGGAAUGCAUGGGUUAGGGUUAGGGUUAGGGUUGGAGCUAGGGUUAGGGUUAGGGUUAGGGUUGGAGUUAGGGUUAGUGUUGGAGCUAGGGUUAGGGUUGGGCUUGGAGCUAGGAUUUUUCUGAGUGCAAUGAACCAACUCCCGAGUCUCUAGGACAUUCCUAAAAA